This is a non-coding RNA of Triticum aestivum (bread wheat), 135 nucleotides long. NCBI's taxonomy places the organism in Eukaryota, Viridiplantae, Streptophyta, Magnoliopsida, Poales, Poaceae. The record is from Rfam.
UAUAUGUACCCUCCGUCCGAAAAUACUUGUCAUCAAAAUAGAUAAAAAGGGAUGUAUCUGAAACUAAAAUACAUUUAAAUAAAUCUUCUUUUAUGCAUUUGGAUGACAAGUAUUUCGGGACGAAGGUAAUGCUAA